Molecule: ribosomal RNA, 522 nt
Filed under: uncultured bacterium
Lineage: Bacteria
Description: bacterial SSU rRNA
Rfam family: Bacterial small subunit ribosomal RNA
Source: RNAcentral
CUAGGACGACGCUGGCGGCGUGCCUAAUACAUGCAAGUCGAACGGUCUUUUCUAUGGAAGCUUGCUUCCACUGAGAAGAUAGUGGCGAACGGGUGAGUAACACGUGGGUAACCUGCCCAUAAGAGGGGGAUAACAUCCGGAAACGGGUGCUAAUACCGCAUAGUUUUUCUUGAUCGCAUGAUUGAGAAAGGAAAGACGGCCUUUGUGCUGUCGCUUAUGGAUGGACCCGCGGCGUAUUAGUUAGUUGGUGAGGUAACGGCUCACCAAGACGAUGAUACGUAGCCGACCUGAGAGGGUGAUCGGCCACAUUGGAACUGAGACACGGCCCAAACUCCUACGGGAGGCAGCAGUAGGGAAUCUUCCGCAAUGGACGAAAGUCUGACGGAGCAACGCCGCGUGAGUGAAGAAAGGUUUUCGGAUCGUAAAACUCUGUUGUCAGAGAAGAACAAGUUGGAGAGUAACUGCUCCAGCCUUGACGGUAUCUGACCAGAAAGCCACGGCUAACUACGUGCCAGCCGCCGC